RNAcentral lists this ribosomal RNA (55 nucleotides) under Actinobacteria bacterium 13_2_20CM_2_66_6. RNAcentral describes it as "partial 23S ribosomal RNA". The record is from RNAcentral. Lineage: Bacteria; Bacillati; Actinomycetota.
GUAAGAGAAGUAAUUCUUUGAGCUGACCGGUACUAAUAGCCCGAGGGCUUGUUCA